GGUGCUGUAGUGUAGUGGUUAUCAUGCUUCGUUGUGGUUAGUCCCACAGCCCCGAAUCGACCUGGGUUCGAUUCCCAGCAGCGCCA
Aspergillus oryzae is the source of this 86-nucleotide transfer RNA. It matches the Rfam family "tRNA". From Rfam's summary of the family: Transfer RNA (tRNA) molecules are approximately 80 nucleotides in length. Their secondary structure includes four short double-helical elements and three loops (D, anti-codon, and T loops). The record is from Rfam. NCBI's taxonomy places the organism in Eukaryota, Fungi, Ascomycota, Eurotiomycetes, Eurotiales, Aspergillaceae.